Long non-coding RNA from Silurus meridionalis, 566 nucleotides. RefSeq lists it as uncharacterized. Lineage: Eukaryota; Metazoa; Chordata; Actinopteri; Siluriformes; Siluridae. The record is from RefSeq and is a predicted model, not a curated record. The transcript is spliced from 3 exons.
CUGGCUCACACACACCACAGAUGUAGGCUAGUUUACAAAUCUAUCUGUAACUCAUAGAGAAAUAUGGGCUACUAAUACUGUAGUUUCACUCCCAGCCAUAGGGGGCACUGUGGGACUGAGUCAAUUAAAGCCUAUGGUUAUCAGCAUUUUUACCCCCAUUUGCUAUUUCUUCUCCUCGUGAAUGCCAGCAGAAAUAAAACUUUGGAAAUUAUAAAACCAGCAGAAAGCAAAAACCCGAGGCAAUAAUGCCAAAGUACAAUUGAAACAAACAAUUGAAACUCCAUUGAGUGGAAGCACGUUUUUAUAAGAGCAAUAGCUUGCCGUGGUGGUGGAAUGAAAUUCCACUAGAUGUCUGAAUAGCGGUGUCCCUGGCUUCAAGACCUUCAUGAAAAACCUCCUCCUUAAACACUUAAACUAGCACUUUUCCAGGCCUCGUUUCCAUCAUUAUGCCGGCAAUCUUCGCUCUGCUGAAGAGCUGAACUUCUGCUGUCCACCACAGGAUGGUCUAGGAGGAGAUGUCAGAUGUCCUCAGAGAUAGGAGGCGAUCCUUCUGCAGGGACAGCAAA